GCCCAGAUAGCUCAGUUGGUAGAGCAGAGGACUGAAAAUCCUCGUGUCGCUGGUUCGAUUCCGGCUCUGGGCACGA
This 76-nucleotide transfer RNA is filed under the name Enterocloster asparagiformis. Its description in RNAcentral is "[Clostridium] asparagiforme tRNA-Phe". It matches the Rfam family "tRNA". From Rfam's summary of the family: Transfer RNA (tRNA) molecules are approximately 80 nucleotides in length. Lineage: Bacteria; Bacillati; Bacillota; Clostridia; Lachnospirales; Lachnospiraceae. RNAcentral also lists the same sequence under 3 other names. The record is from RNAcentral.